This 26-nucleotide non-coding RNA is filed under the name Mus musculus (house mouse). The record is from RNAcentral. Lineage: Eukaryota; Metazoa; Chordata; Mammalia; Rodentia; Muridae.
UGCUCACCCUGUGUUGCCAGACAGCA